GACGAACGCUGGCGGCGUGCUUAACACAUGCAAGUCGAACGGACAGGCCCUGCUUUUGUGGGGUGCUCGAUUGGCGCACGGGGGAGUAACACGUGUGUAUCCUCCCCUUGACUUUGGGAUAACAUCAGGGAAAUGGGGCUCAUACAGCAUAGAAGCUCCUGCUGCGCAGUGUGGGAUGGUAAGAUACGGCGUUUGUGGAUGGUUUGGCGGCUUAUCAGCUUGUUUGUGGGGUAGUGGCUUACCAAGGCUUUGACGGGUAGCCGGCCUGAGAGGGUGACCGGCCACACGGGGACUGCGAGACGGCCCAGACGCCAACGGGAGGCAGCAGUGGGGAAUAUUGCACAACGGGGGGACGCCUGAUGCAGAAAUCCCGCGUGCGGGAUGCCGGCUUUCGGGUGGUAAACAGAUUUCGAAUGUGCUGAAGCCGGAUUGACGGUAACGAGUAAAGAAGCAACGGCUAACUACGUG
RNAcentral lists this ribosomal RNA (468 nucleotides) under uncultured bacterium. RNAcentral's name for it is "partial 16S ribosomal RNA". It matches the Rfam family "Bacterial small subunit ribosomal RNA", at positions 28 to 507 of the family's 1533-position model. The record is from RNAcentral.